RNAcentral lists this ribosomal RNA (492 nucleotides) under uncultured bacterium. Its description in RNAcentral is "partial 16S ribosomal RNA". It matches the Rfam family "Bacterial small subunit ribosomal RNA", at positions 29 to 507 of the family's 1533-position model. The record is from RNAcentral.
AGUGAACGCUGGCGGUAGGCCUAACACAUGCAAGUCGAACGGCAGCACAGUAAGAGCUUGCUCUUACGGGUGGCGAGUGGCGGACGGGUGAGGAAUACAUCGGAAUCUACUUUUUCGUGGGGGAUAACGUAGGGAAACUUACGCUAAUACCGCAUACGUCCUACGGGUGAAAGCAGGGGAUCUUCGGACCUUGCGCGAUUGAAUGAGCCGAUGUCGGAUUAGCUAGUUGGCGGGGUAAAGGCCCACCAAGGCGACGAUCCGUAGCUGGUCUGAGAGGAUGAUCAGCCACACUGGAACUGAGACACGGUCCAGACUCCUACGGGAGGCAGCAGUGGGGAAUAUUGGACAAUGGGCGCAAGCCUGAUCCAGCCAUGCCGCGUGGGUGAAGAAGGCCUUCGGGUUGUAAAGCCCUUUUGUUGGGAAAGAAAAGCAGCAGGUUAAUACCCCGCUGUUCUGACGUUACCCAAAGAAUAAGCACCGGCUAACUUCGUG